Molecule: unclassified non-coding RNA, 1762 nt
Filed under: Hevea brasiliensis (rubber tree)
Lineage: Eukaryota; Viridiplantae; Streptophyta; Magnoliopsida; Malpighiales; Euphorbiaceae
Source: RNAcentral
AUUUUUUUAAUUAAUUAAAUUUUCUUCUCUUUCCUUAAUCAACCAAACUCCAAUUCUUGAUCAACCAAAACUUCAAACAUCAGGUAUGGCUGAAGUGUUGGGAAUGUUUACAGUACAACAGACCAUAGGAAAUGUGUUAUGCUGCAAAUGCGGAAUCUCGAUGCAGCCAAAUGCUGCAAAUAUGUGCGCUAAAUGCUUGCGAUCUGAAGUUGAUAUAACAGAAGACUUACAGAAACAUGUAGUGAUUAUUCAUUGUCCUGAAUGUGAUGGCUAUUUGCAGCCUCCAAGGAGUUGGAUCAAAGCACAGCUCGAAUCGAAGGAGUUACUCACUUUUUGUAUCAAGAAGUUGAAGAAUUUGAAUAAAGUUAAGUUGGUGAAUGCCGAGUUCAUUUGGACUGAGCCUCAUUCGAAAAGGAUCAAAAUUAGGCUUAAAGUCCAAAAAGAGGUACUAAAUGGAGCGGUUCUUGAACAAUCGUACAUUGUCGAGUAUGUUGUCCAAGACCAAAUGUGUGAUCCGUGUUCGAAGGUGCAAGUUAAUCCUGAUCAAUGGGUGGCUGCAGUGCAACUUAGACAGCACGUGUCUCACCGAAGAACGUUCUUCUAUUUGGAGCAGCUGAUUAUUAAGCACGACGCUGCUAAUCGUGCUAUAAAGAUUCAACAGUUGGAUCAGGGAAUUGAUUUCUUCUUUGGUCAUAGAAGUCAUGCUUUGAAGUUUGUGGAUUUUGUCAGUAGGAUGGUACUUGUUAGGACCCGAAAUGCCAAGCAACUCGCUUCUCAUGAUCAUAAGAGCAAUAUCGUCAAUUAUAAGUACACAUUCUCUGUAGAAAUCAGCCCAGUUUGUCGUGAGGAUCUGAUAUGUCUCCCUCCAAAGGUGGCAGGUAGUUUAGGAAAUAUCGGUCCUCUAGUGAUCUGCACGAAAGUAAGCAACAGUAUCUCUCUAUUAGAUCCGUUCACGUUGAGGCAUUGUUUUCUAGAUGCUGAUCAGUACUGGAGGGCGUCGUUUAAGCCUUUACUAUCUAGUAGACAGCUUGUCGAGUAUGUGGUUUUAGAUGUUGAUGUGGUUUCUGAAGAAGUUAAUAUUGGAGGCUCGAAGUAUGUUUUAGCUGAUAUCCAAGUUGCUCGUGUUUCUGAUUUCGGGAAAAAUGACACAAUAUUCUCCGUAAGAACGCAUCUAGGCCAUCUUCUGGAUGCUGGAGACUAUGCCCUCGGUUAUGAUUUAUAUCGAGCCAAUACUAAUGAUUUUCAGCUUGAAAAAUACAAAGGUCUUGUCCUUCCAGAGGUGAUAUUGAUUAAGAAAAGCUAUGAAGAGAAACGUCAAAAGAAACGUGGGAAGCCUCGGUCUUGGAAGCUUAAGUCACUCAAUAUGGAAAUUGAUAACUCUGGAAAUGGAAAAGAUCAAGAACAAAAGAUGAACUCGGAGUAUGAGCAUUUCUUGAGAGAUUUAGAGGAGAAUCCUGAUAUGAGGUUCAACAUAUCAUUGUAUCGUGAUAAAGAAUAUCAACGAUCAGAAACUACCUCUGUUGCUGAUGGAGAAGAUGUUCCUUCUAUUCCUUUGGAGGAGUUACUUGCUGAUAUUGAUCUGAGCGAUAUUGAUGUUGAAGAAGAUGCAUAAGGGAGUGAACUGAAGACUCGUGAAUUGGGACCGGAUCUUGUUGUGCAAGUUAGUAGCUUCGUAAAUUUUAUGUCCUGUAUUAGUAGAAUGAAUUUGUUGCACCUGAGCCUAGGGUUCGUAAACAGCCUCUCUACCUCCACGAGGUAGUGG